CCUACGGGAGGCAGCAGUGAGGAAUAUUGGUCAAUGGGCGGAAGCCUGAACCAGCCAAGUCGCGUGAGGGAUUAAGGCCCUACGGGUUGUAAACCUCUUUUGUCAGGGAGCAAUGGCGUCCACGUGUGGGCGUAUGGAGAGUACCUGAAGAAAAAGCAUCGGCUAACACCGUGCCAGCAGCCGCGGUAAUACGGAGGAUGCGAGCGUUAUCCGGAUUUAUUGGGUUUAAAGGGUGCGUAGGCGGGCCCUUAAGUCAGCGGUAAAAUUGCGGGGCUCAACGCCGUAGAGCCGUUGAAACUGGCGUUCUUGAGUGAGCGAGAAGUAUGCGGAAUGCGUGGUGUAGCGGUGAAAUGCAUAGAUAUCACGCAGAACCCCGAUUGCGAAGGCAGCAUACCGGCGCCCAACUGACGCUGAGGCACGAAAGUGCGGGUAUCGAACAGGAUUAGAUACCCCUGUAGUC
This 460-nucleotide ribosomal RNA is filed under the name uncultured bacterium. RNAcentral describes it as "partial 16S ribosomal RNA". It matches the Rfam family "Bacterial small subunit ribosomal RNA", at positions 338 to 795 of the family's 1533-position model. The record is from RNAcentral.